This 219-nucleotide long non-coding RNA is filed under the name Musa acuminata (dwarf banana). Its description in RNAcentral is "long non-coding RNA (MACU_LNC005323)". Lineage: Eukaryota; Viridiplantae; Streptophyta; Magnoliopsida; Zingiberales; Musaceae. The record is from RNAcentral.
AAGCUCAGAACUUGGAAGAAAAGAGGGAGAAGAACUUUUGGCCUUUACAAUAAUUUUGAGCUCUAAAAAUCACAGAACAAGAUCAGGAUUUUGGUGUAUGUUGAGUGCCCUUUCAGUGCUGAAUGGGUGGGGUAUUUAUAGGCCCCAACCUAGUUUGAAUUUGGAGCUCAAAACUGUCAAUUCCCGGAAUUCUGGGAUCUGGCGGUUGCACCUCCUGAC